This is a ribosomal RNA of Lepisosteus oculatus (spotted gar), 119 nucleotides long. Lineage: Eukaryota; Metazoa; Chordata; Actinopteri; Semionotiformes; Lepisosteidae. The record is from Rfam.
GCCAGCAGCCAUGUCACCCUUCAACUCACAACUGGCAACCCACUGAAGCUCAGCAGGUGUGAGCCUGGUCAGUACCUGGAUAGGAGACCUCCUGGGAAAAACUAAGGUUGCUGCUGGAA